This 85-nucleotide transfer RNA is filed under the name Felis catus (domestic cat). It matches the Rfam family "tRNA". Rfam says of the family: Transfer RNA (tRNA) molecules are approximately 80 nucleotides in length. Their secondary structure includes four short double-helical elements and three loops (D, anti-codon, and T loops). Further hydrogen bonds mediate the characteristic L-shaped molecular structure. tRNAs have two regions of fundamental functional importance: the anti-codon, which is responsible for specific mRNA codon recognition, and the 3' end, to which the tRNAs corresponding amino acid is attached (by aminoacyl-tRNA synthetases). tRNAs cope with the degeneracy of the genetic code in two manners: having more than one tRNA (with a specific anti-codon) for a particular amino acid; and 'wobble' base-pairing, i.e. permitting non-standard base-pairing at the 3rd anti-codon position. The record is from Rfam by way of RNAcentral. Lineage: Eukaryota; Metazoa; Chordata; Mammalia; Carnivora; Felidae.
ACCUGGAUGGCUCAGUCGGUUAAGCGUCUGACUCUGGCUCAGGUCAUGAUCUCACGGUUUGUGGGUUCGAGCCCCACGUCGGGCU